RNAcentral lists this ribosomal RNA (262 nucleotides) under uncultured bacterium. Its description in RNAcentral is "partial 16S ribosomal RNA". It matches the Rfam family "Bacterial small subunit ribosomal RNA", at positions 92 to 353 of the family's 1533-position model. The record is from RNAcentral.
CGACCGGCGCACGGGUGAGUAACACGUAUCCAACCUGCCCUUUACUCGGGGAUAGCCUUUCGAAAGAAAGAUUAAUACCCGAUAGUAUAAUGAUUCCGCAUGGUUUCAUUAUUAAAGGAUUCCGGUAAAGGAUGGGGAUGCGUUCCAUUAGGUUGUUGGUGAGGUAACGGCUCACCAAGCCUUCGAUGGAUAGGGGUUCUGAGAGGAAGGUCCCCCACAUUGGAACUGAGACACGGUCCAAACUCCUACGGGAGGCAGCAUG